UACGAAGGGGGCUAGCGUUGUUCGGAAUCACUGGGCGUAAAGCGCACGUAGGCGGAUGUGCCAGUCAGGGGUGAAAUCCCGGAGCUCAACUUCGGAACUGCCUCUGAUACAGCACGUCUUGAGUCCGGAAGAGGUGGGUGGAAUUCCUAGUGUAGAGGUGAAAUUCGUAGAUAUUAGGAGGAACACCGGUGGCGAAGGCGGAUCUCUGGGCCGUAACUGACGCUGAGGAGCGAAAGCGUGGGUAGCAAACAGG
Molecule: ribosomal RNA, 253 nt
Filed under: uncultured bacterium
Lineage: Bacteria
Description: partial 16S ribosomal RNA
Rfam family: Bacterial small subunit ribosomal RNA
Source: RNAcentral